This 440-nucleotide ribosomal RNA is filed under the name Arcotheres sp. LMT-2014. RNAcentral describes it as "partial 12S small subunit ribosomal RNA". Lineage: Eukaryota; Metazoa; Arthropoda; Malacostraca; Decapoda; Pinnotheridae. The record is from RNAcentral.
AAAGGUAAAAUUAAUUUAAUUUUUUUCAUAGAUAAAUUAAGAUUGAAGCUAAAAAGUUUUAGUUAUAAACUAGGAUUAGAUACCCUAUUAUUCUAAAAUUACUUAUUACCUAAACUAGUAAUAGAUAUUUACUUAAAAUUUAAAAGAUUUGGCGGUAAUUUAAUCUUUUCAGAGGAAUUUGUUUUUUAAUCGAUAAUCCGCGAAUUAUCUUACUUAAGUUUGUAUACCAUCAUUAUCAGAUAAUUUUUAAAAGAUAAAUUAUUAUAAGUAAAAAUUUAACUAAAUUAGAUCAUGGUGCAGCUAAUGAGUAAGUUAAAAUGAAUUACAAUAAAAUUUUUUACACGGAUAAAUAGAUUUAGAAGGAGGAUUUGAUAGUACUUAAGUUUAAUAUGCUUAGGAGAUAAAGGCUCUAAAUUAUGUACAUAUCGCCCGUCGCUUUC